AUGCCACUUUCGGACAAGAGGCUCAAGAGAAUUUUCUUCCAAGGUUUGCUUGAUAAGAUUGCCAAGAAGUUAGCCGCAUGGAAAGCUCGAUGGAUUACUUUGGCUGGUCGUACUGUUCUGGUCAGAUUCGUGCUCUCUGCAAUGCCUAUUUUUCAACUUAUUGCCGUUGAGCAGCCAAAAUGGUUUAUUAAACAAAUCGACAAGAUGAGAAGGGCCUUUCUUUGGGCCGGGUCAGAUGCAGUUAGUGGUGGAAAAUGCUUGAUCAAAUGGUCUCAAGUUUGCGCUCCUCUUGAGCUUGGUGGGCUAGGUAUACCUGAUCUGAUUUGUCAAGGAAGGGCACUGAAAGUUAGGUGGCUCUGGCAGAACGCCACUGACGGUGAUAAAUCUUGGCAUGGGUUAACACUG
This 405-nucleotide ribosomal RNA is filed under the name Triticum aestivum (bread wheat). Its description in RNAcentral is "partial small subunit ribosomal RNA". Lineage: Eukaryota; Viridiplantae; Streptophyta; Magnoliopsida; Poales; Poaceae. The record is from RNAcentral.